Molecule: ribosomal RNA, 383 nt
Filed under: uncultured eukaryote
Lineage: Eukaryota
Description: partial 18S ribosomal RNA
Rfam family: Eukaryotic small subunit ribosomal RNA
Source: RNAcentral
CAAUAGCGUAUAUUAAAGUUGUUGCAGUUAAAAAGCUCGUAGUUGGAUUUCUGGUGGGAGCGAUCGGUCUGGCGCUUAGCGCGAGUACUUGCAUCGUCUCCGGCCAUCCUUGGGGAAAGUCUGUCUGGCAUUAAGUUGUCGGGCAGAGGAUCCUCAUCGUUUACUGUGAAAAAAUUAGAGUGUUCAAAGCAGGCCUAUGCCGUUGAAUAUAUUAGCAUGGAAUAAUAAGAUAGGACUUUGGUACUAUUUUGUUGGUUUGCGCACCAAAGUAAUGAUUAAUAGGGACAGUUGGGGGUAUUCGUAUUCCGUUGUCAGAGGUGAAAUUCUUGGAUUUACGGAAGACGAACUACUGCGAAAGCAUUUACCAAGGAUGUUUUCAUUAA